This 253-nucleotide ribosomal RNA is filed under the name uncultured bacterium. RNAcentral describes it as "partial 16S ribosomal RNA". It matches the Rfam family "Bacterial small subunit ribosomal RNA", at positions 524 to 776 of the family's 1533-position model. The record is from RNAcentral.
UACGGAGGGUGCAAGCGUUAUCCGGAUUCACUGGGUUUAAAGGGUGCGUAGGUGGGUCUGUAAGUCAGUGGUGAAAUCUCCGGGCUUAACCCGGAAACUGCCAUUGAUACUAUAGAUCUUGAAUAUCCUGGAGGUGAGCGGAAUAUGUCAUGUAGCGGUGAAAUGCUUAGAUAUGACAUAGAACACCAAUUGCGAAGGCAGCUCACUACGGGAUCAUUGACACUGAGGCACGAAAGCGUGGGGAUCAAACAGG